GAUGAAGAACGCAGCGAAAUGAGAUAAGUAAUGUGAAUUGCAGAAUCCAGUGAAUCAUCGAAUCUUUGAACGCACAUUGCGCCCGCCAGCAUUCUGGCGGGCAUGCCUGUUCGAGCGUCAUUUCAACCCUCGACCUCCCUUUGGGGAAGUCGGCGUUGGGGACCGGCAGCACACCGCCGGCCCUGAAAUGGAGUGGCGGCCCGUCCGCGGCGACCUCUGCGUAGUAAUCCAACUCGCACCGGAACCCCGACGCGGCCACGCCGUAAAACACCCAACUUCUGAACGUUGACCUCGAAUCAGGCAGGACUACCCGCUGAACUUAAGCAUAUCAAUAAGCGGAGGA
This 343-nucleotide unclassified non-coding RNA is filed under the name soil metagenome. Its description in RNAcentral is "partial contains 5.8S ribosomal RNA, internal transcribed spacer 2, and large subunit ribosomal RNA". The stretch from base 1 to 120 matches the Rfam family "5.8S ribosomal RNA", at positions 35 to 154 of the family's 154-position model. The record is from RNAcentral.